This 433-nucleotide long non-coding RNA is filed under the name Phoenix dactylifera (date palm). RNAcentral describes it as "long non-coding RNA (PDAC_LNC006324)". Lineage: Eukaryota; Viridiplantae; Streptophyta; Magnoliopsida; Arecales; Arecaceae. The record is from RNAcentral.
UGAAAUGCAGUGUCACUAAUGAAACCCUAAUAACUAUAAUGUAGGACCAAAUUUGAUGCAGGACAACCUACUAAUGCAAUCUAUUAUGAUUUCAGAAAUCAGCAAGUCUGCACAAUAAUAACUUAAAAUUUAAAUGUUGCUGAUUUUUACUUCGGUUAUUCAGAAUUAAGGAUUAAGAUUAUUCAAUUUAAGAAGUUAGAUUGCAAUCAAGUAGUACAGUUGUUCUGAUCCUAAAUCAAUCUGAUCGAAGAAUGUUGAGAAGCAUCCAGUUGUUAGGGUGUGCUAAUUUAAUAUUUAGAUUUUAAAAGGGCAAAUAGGAUGGGUUUGAAAGUAGGGGUUCUACGUUCUGAAUUUUGACAACAAUAUAAAUUUUCAAGUAUAUGGCUAUCAUGCAAGAGAACUAGAACAUAAUUAAAUGAACAAGCCCAAGAAA